GACCGCCUGGGGAGUACGGCCGCAAGGUUAAAACUCAAAUGAAUUGACGGGGGCCCGCACAAGCGGUGGAGCAUGUGGUUUAAUUCGAUGCAACGCGAAGAACCUUACCUGGUCUUGACAUCCACAGAAGAAUCCAGAGAUGGAUUUGUGCCUUCGGGAACUGUGAGACAGGUGCUGCAUGGCUGUCGUCAGCUCGUGUUGUGAAAUGUUGGGUUAAGUCCCGCAACGAGCGCAACCCUUAUCCUUUGUUGCCAGCGGUUAGGCCGGGAACUCAAAGGAGACUGCCAGUGAUAAACUGGAGGAAGGUGGGGAUGACGUCAAGUCAUCAUGGCCCUUACGACCAGGGCUACACACGUGCUACAAUGGCGCAUACAAAGAGAAGCGACCUCGCGAGAGCAAGCGGACCUCAUAAAGUGCGUCGUAGUCCGGAUUGGAGUCUGCAACUCGACUCCAUGAAGUCGGAAUCGCUAGUAAUCGUGGAUCAGAAUGCCACGGUGAAUACGUUCCCGGGCCUUGUACACACCGCCCGUCACACCAUGGGAGUGGGUUGCAAAAGAAGUAGGUAGCUUAACCUUCGGGAGGGCGCUUACCACUUUGUGAUUCAUGACUGGGGUGAAGUCGUAACAAGGUAACCGUAGGGGAACCUGCGGUUG
Molecule: ribosomal RNA, 653 nt
Filed under: Salmonella enterica
Lineage: Bacteria; Pseudomonadati; Pseudomonadota; Gammaproteobacteria; Enterobacterales; Enterobacteriaceae
Also listed under: 2 other names
Description: bacterial SSU rRNA
Rfam family: Bacterial small subunit ribosomal RNA
Source: RNAcentral